GCUUCAGUCAUUGGGGAGUAGCCAGUUCCAGAGGACUUCUGGAAAAUUCGUAUCAACAUACUCGUUUAAAAUAAAACGUGGUACGAAUGCCUAAUCAUCUAAUAAAUUUGAUUUUUUAUAUCAUGCAAACCUCAGGU
RNAcentral lists this small RNA (137 nucleotides) under Xenorhabdus szentirmaii. RNAcentral's name for it is "Manganese sequence". The stretch from base 1 to 113 matches the Rfam family "Manganese Mn2+ riboswitch aptamer (yybP-ykoY)". From Rfam's summary of the family: This RNA was originally discovered in E. coli during a large scale screen and was named SraF. The record is from RNAcentral. Lineage: Bacteria; Pseudomonadati; Pseudomonadota; Gammaproteobacteria; Enterobacterales; Morganellaceae.